AAAAUAGAGUGGCAUGGAGGUCUCCUUCCACACUUGAAACUCUUCUAAGUUGGGUAGGAGUUCAAUGAAAAUAGACCUAAUCCAAUUACGUCAAAGGCAACAGGUCCAGUUUAGCUCAAACACUUUGAACUUAAUCAGAAACUUGGGUUAACAUAAUGUGCUAGCAUAUGAAAAUAACCCCUACGAUUUAUAUUAAAUUCUAAUUAAACCAAACC
This 215-nucleotide long non-coding RNA is filed under the name Elaeis guineensis (African oil palm). RNAcentral describes it as "long non-coding RNA (EGUI_LNC048600)". The record is from RNAcentral. Lineage: Eukaryota; Viridiplantae; Streptophyta; Magnoliopsida; Arecales; Arecaceae.